Fukomys damarensis (Damara mole-rat) is the source of this 5250-nucleotide long non-coding RNA. RefSeq lists it as uncharacterized. NCBI's taxonomy places the organism in Eukaryota, Metazoa, Chordata, Mammalia, Rodentia, Bathyergidae. The transcript has 3 exons. The record is from RefSeq and is a predicted model, not a curated record.
AGGCUGAAGAGGCAAAGUGACUUACAAAGGUAAGCCAGCUAAUCAGGGGUAAGAAUGAGACAGAACUCAAAUUGCCACUUCCUAGUUCAAGUCUUCACUGUGUUACAAAAUAAUUUUUUUAAUUCAAUAUAUUUAAUUAUGUUGGCAAACUUAAACCCUUGGGGAAUGAGCAUUCUUUUAAAAAUGGCAUUUGGGACCACCCACAAACUCUCCAUUUGGCAAAGCGCUUUUCUGCAGGACAGCUAAAUGCAGCCACUGUUUGUUCUGACAAGUUGGGUGGGUGAACCAGCAUGUCUCCGAGAGGCCAGUGUGUGUCCCCUAUGACGGAAACUGCAGUGCCCCGCUAAGGAAAGCCACUGCGCCCCUACCCUCAAGCAAAGCUCUUAACCAUGAGUGCUAUGCAUGUCAUAUUGAAGGGUAAGUAUCAACUAGCAGUUAUAUCUCUUCAGCAUCACCCAACAGAUCAAAUGUCUUGUUUCUAGGGGCACAAGGAAGCUUGGCUGGAUGCAGGCAACAUAAGAUUUGGAAACAGUAGAUUAUACUUGAGAAAGAGAAAAUAGGCCAGCAGAAGAUUAUGGGAAAAUUAGCUCAGUUGAUUUGCUGUGAACAUCUGCAGAAACUGUUAAUAGGUGCUGUGUCUAAUUAAAUCCACCAGACAUACAUGCCUGUGAUCUAUGGAACCAUGUUCUUCCCCAUGCUGUCAUACCUGUUGCUGGUAGGAAGACACUUGCAUUCUAUCAAUGUCAGUAGGGUACAAGGGAGAGAAAGUCAAAGCUGCAGUCUAAGUCACUUGUCCACAAGGGUAUCACCAGUAGGAGAGAUUCACAUUCAGGACUGAACUACACACUGAAAGGCAGGUAGUAGACUGAGACCUCCAUACUCUCAGCACCUUAUAAUAGACCUCUGGGUGGUGUAGAUUUGAGAAACAAAAGUGUGAACCAGAUUUCAAAGAGAGUAUUUAACGUGCUUCACUGAAGGUCAAAAGAUCUCAAUUUAUCUCAGCCUCCAUUUGUAUACAAAUAACUAUUGGGCAACUAUCAAAUCAGGUAUUCCUUUGGUUAUCCCACAUUUGGUCAUAUUAGUUUGUGUCUGUCUAGUCAUGCCCUGACCUGUUUGUUCCUUUGAUAAAGCUGUCUUUUGACUAAGACACAGAGUCUUCCCAAUUUAGUGAGGGUUUCUGUUCCACUCCUCUGCUGGGGCACCAGUGGGUACAAACUACCCCGAGGAAGCGGCACAGCUCAGACGAAUGACACAGGUGCUGCUGUCAGUCCCAGCUCCCCAUUAGCUACCGGUUGCCUCAGUUAUUCUAGCCUUGGUCUCCACUCGUGUAAGGUGGAGGUAACAACAGCAUCCCCCUCCCAGGGUACUUGUGAGGUUAAAGUGAAGCACCACCUGGGGAGUGCUUACCGUUGUGCCUGGCACAGUGGGAUUUCCCAUCUCGUCCACUCCCUGCCCAGUGAUACAAGCUGAUAAGCAGAGCUUUUGGAAGAGGAUUGGACCAUGGUUAGGGAGUAAGUCCUGUUUAGGGGAGGUGGGUCGCCAGGGUGUGAUCUGGAAGGUGGCACCUCCCGCCCUGGCUCCUCCCUUCCUCUCUACUUCCUGGCCGCCAUGAUGUGAGCAGCUUUCCUCUGCCCCACGCCUUCUACCAUGGAGCCAGCUAACUGCGGACUAAACACUGUGAGCCAAAGUAAGCCUCUCCUUUCUUACCUUUUGGGUGUUAGGUGUUGGGCCUCAGGAACAAGGAAAGUGACUAAGACAACCGGGAUGAACGAGAUCGUGACGGGAAACAUCUUGUGGUUUUAGCCAGAGUUAUGGACUCCAAGUCCAAAGAUAUUGUGGGUGGAAAUAGCCUUAUGGUGAAUUGCAGUAGCAAUGAUUCCAGAAUAGAGAAACCUUCCAUGUAGAAGAGACAAAGCUGUGUUAUUGGCAUUGGGUUUUCCACUGGAUCUCCUAAUAGCCACAUUUCUAUCAUUAUCUCUACACCUGUUUUUAUUUCAGCCAUGUUGAGGCCUGAACGGUGAUAAAACACAAUUGUUUAAGAACAAUGCCUCGUCCCUGUACUCAGUGUAUUUGAAUUUGUAUUGCCAACUGUCUUUAAGAUUUUUAUCCUUUCACUUCAUUUAAUCAGUGAGACUUGUAAAUAACACUUUUCGAUAUUUCAAAUGACUGUAAUGGUCCAUUUCCUGAGGCCUUUGGAAUAUUUGUGAUGUUGGAAGACGACCAGUUCUAAGUAAGCAUUCACAUUCAUCGACAUCUCCUCUGUAUCUUGCCUGAAAAAUGUCUUCUCAAAGUAACCACUGUGGAGGAAGUCUGUGUGGACAGAUGGGCUUCACACCCUCCCCUAAAGGUCGACCAGUUGCUGGGUGAGUUUGGCAGCAAGUCCCUUAGUCAAGGACCUUCCCAUAAAAAGAGCUUCAUCUUUAUUUUGCGUCUAGUGACAGGGAGAAGAGGGGCUUCCAUCAGAGAUGCCCCCACAAUUAGGCAUCCAAGGAAGUCAUUAGCAGUGAUAAUGGUGGCUGUGACAACAAUGUCUUACCCGUUUCAGAGGCUCUUCAACACGCUUUGUGGGAGUUCUUUACAAUUGAAACUUAAAACACCACAGAGUGGCAAAUGCAAAACACUUUUAACCAAGGAAAACAAAAGACACAUAAUUUGAUCUGGAGUCUUGGAUUUUGUACAUCAAAUGAACUUUCUGUUUUAGCGGAUCUCUGAAGGAUCUGAUUUUAGCAUUUUUUCGUGUUUGGUCCACUAAUAAGAACAACAGUAACUAUGUUUCAGGAAUGGCUCACAAACCUUUUAGUUAUGACAUAGUAUAUAUUCUUUUGUUGAUUCUACCAUCAGAAUGACACAAAAGAAAUAUAUUCCCCAUAGAUAACUGUUCGGCCGUGAUGUUGUAGCUUCAUUAUUCUGGGAGAAUUUGACUCCCAAAACACAGGAAUGCAGUCAUUUCCUGUCCCUGUUUUCACAGAGCCCUUGGACAGUACUUAUUUUAUGUUCAUAAGUAGAAAUAUUUGCUUCAUUGUGUUUUUGACACAGAACAGAGUAUGUUUUUGAACAGAGUGCCCAUUGGAUCGUCUCUACACAGUACAGUUCAAAAGAACUUUGUUCGGGGUCUGGCUAAUUUUCUUUCUCUCAUUUUCUUUUCUUCUUUUUCCCUGUCACUAUUGUUGAAGUGUCACAUGGGCAUCUCUCUCAUCUCCCAGAUUGAUGGUAUCAUCGAGGACUUCCCACAUAAACAAGAUAAACGAAAGGCUUCCACCGACAGGUGGGAAAACUUUGGACAUUGGAAACUUCUGUGCCCAGUGAAGUCAUGAUGACACUUGGAUGCCAUUGCUGCUACUAAGAUCACCUCCCUGUGGCUCAGGUUGUCAGUUGUCCUCACUCAACACAGAUCAUCCCAACCAAUGCCUGCUGUCAAGUAUGUAAAUUUGGGCUGGAUCAAAGAAUAAUUAUCUUGGGUCCCAACCUCACUCUACCUCCAAAGUAAGUCUCUCCUCCCAAGAAUCAAAAGUGUCCUCUGUAAGUUGGAAAGCCUUCCCGUUGAGUCAUAGAUGAGAGUACUUUCAUAUUUACACACUUCCACAGGCUAAAAGGGUCUAAUUUCUUCUCUUAACUCAAUGAUCCUUUUUCUAAAAAAGUGAACUAUUCCAAGUUUCUUUGAACAGUCCAGAAGGAAAGGAUAAGACAAUAAGGAGGAAUCAUCCCUUCCACACAUUAAUAAUGAGAUUUUUUAAGUUGCAGGAAACUCUUAUGUAGUACAGUCUAGAGUGCAAAAGAGUCAUGAAAGCAGAAGAGAUAGAGGCAACAGCUAGUAAAGCAAGGAUCGGAAGAUCACAGUGAUCAUUAGUACUCGGGACAACAAGACAGGAGAAUAAAGAGAGGGAUUCCUGGUACUUCUGGCUUUUAUGGAAACCAUCUGAAUUUGAAAGAUCUGACCCCGACCUACAUUCUUUUACAUGCAUAGCUGAUUACACUGGAUUUGAUCUUUGGUUCAGAGGUGGAUUGCCUCUGAAUAUCACAACAAUCCGUAAUAAUCUAUCUCAAUUUGUACGGCAUCUGUAGUUUGCAAAGUUAUCAUGUACGUUGUUUUGGGCGAUAGAUAAUAUUCUAAUUUCAUAAAAAAGUAAACUGAGGCACAAAACAAAUGGCAAAGACAGGACUCAAAGUCAAGCCUCUGGUUCCAAUACUUCAUCCCCCAACUGGUGGACGGAUUAAAUCCACCAACUGUGACCUGUGCCUUACACAAGUCUGCAGAAAGAUGUCAUGGUGACCAGUAUAUAUACUGAAUAUACAAAAGUGCAUAACACAGUUCUGGAUGACUUGCUAAAUGGAUCCUAAAAGCAUCUUCAAGGGUUUGGAAGGGCCACACAUUCCCUCAGUGCUUGAAUGAUGGGACACCACUGAUUGACAUAAGCCCAGCUCAGCCCUCAAGAAGAGUGGGGGGAAGACAAGCCAAGUCACAAUCCAAAUUAGUGCAGCUGUUCCUGCAGCAAGAGUAACACAUUGUGCCCUUUGACUAACCUUUCAAUGCCUCGUGUAGCUGGAGCUCUGAGGGCGGUGCUGAGUUGACAGCCUGGAACAUUGACCACCACACUGCGACUGACGUGUAAAUCACCCUCUGACUGGAGGUCCCAAAUCUGAGAACAGAAGUGUCAUCUUUGGACUUGGCCCAGCGUGCAUGCAUUCACCCACAAUUGUCCUGCUCCACCUUUAUGAUAAUGAUCAUAGGGUAGGUGGAGAUCACGUGCUUGGGGUUUGUUUCUAAGGCUGGCUGUUUCAUAAGCAUUCCUUUUAGCUGAAAUUUAACCACAAGAUUUUUGGCAGCGUAGAAAGACUGUAUCCAGCCAAUGUAUUGAAUAUUCUCAAUAAGCCAAGAAUCAGAGCUUGGUUUAGGCGUCAGCAGGACUUAUGGUAACUUUAUCUUCACCAAAAGCCUCAUCCCUGAUGGCUGUUGUUUAAGACAAAUAACUUGGUAGCCCUUCUGGGGCAUUGCUUCCCGGCACCACCAGCCUGUGUGACCAUCUGCAUAUGCUGCAUCUCUCCCCCCACUUUCCUGGCCUCUCUCUGUGGGAAGAGCACCUCCCACUUAUUAGACACCCUUCUCCCCAGGCUUCCUUGCAUUGGUCUCUAUCCUGACGCCAUUACCUACUCAUCAGGGUGAUGGUGGCCUCCAUGGCUACCAAGAUUCUAUGUCCUUUGAAGAAUUUCACUUUUACUAAUGAGUGGAAGAGGUGAAAUUAAAAGCCAGCA